This 456-nucleotide ribosomal RNA is filed under the name uncultured bacterium. RNAcentral describes it as "SSU rRNA". It matches the Rfam family "Bacterial small subunit ribosomal RNA", at positions 26 to 518 of the family's 1533-position model. The record is from RNAcentral.
AGAGCGAACGCUGGCGGCAGGCCUAACACAUGCAAGUCGAACGAUAAGCCACCUUCGGGUGGUGGACAGUGGCAGACGGGUGAGUAACGCGUGGGAACGUACCUUUCGGUUCGGAAUAACCCAGGGAAACUUGGGCUAAUACCGGAUACACCCUUCGGGGGAAAGAUUCAUUGCCGAAAGAUCGGCCCGCGUCGGAUUGGCUAGUUGGUGGGGUAAAAGCCUACCAAGGCGACGAUCCGUAGCUGGUCUGAGAGGAUGACCAGCCACACUGGGACUGAGACACGGCCCAGACUCCUACGGGAGGCAGCAGUCGGGAAUUUUGCGCAAUGGACGAAAGUCUGACGCAGCAACGCCGCGUGAGGGAUGAAGGCCUUCGGGUUGUAAACCUCUUUUAUCAGGGAAGAUAAUGACGGUACCUGAUGAAUAAGUCACGGCUAACUACGUGCCAGCAGCCGC